ACUGGUUGGAACGAGAAUUAUUAUUAUUUAAAAAAAAACCAAUCACCUGAAUGGAUCCACCGAGGUGGUUCGAUCGUACGACGUAAGCACCUCAAGCGUGCACUCAACCGACUGAGCUAAACCGCACCCCUAAAGGUAUAGAGUUUCUUCUACAGACUACGUGUCAGAAUGAUAAAAUAGCUGACGAUUCAUUAAUCAGUGUACUCGGAACAAAAACAGAAAUGAGAAUAUAUUAAUUUAGUUUUCCAGGCUUAUGUCAGAACCCCUCCCUGUUAAAGCAGAUUUUCGUUUUUCUCAAUAUAUUUCCCAGGGCAGAAUGACUUGAUCCCCCUAUAGACUUUAGUCGCCACUGUCUAGACACCUCCCCCUAUAAACUUCAGUCGCUACUGUCUAGACACCUCAACCUAUAAACUUCACUGGCGACUGUCUAGACACCUCAACCUAUAAACUUCACUGGCGACUGUCUAGACACCUCAACCUAUAAGCUUCACUGGCGACUGUCUAGACACCUCCCCCUAUAAACCAGUCGCCACUGUCUAGACAGCUCCCCCACCUAUAAACUUCAGUCGCCACUGUUUAGACACCCCUACCUAUAAACGUCAGUUGCCACAGUCUUAAACACCUCCCCACCUAUAAACUUCAGUGGCCACUGUCUAGACACAUCCUCCCCCUAUAAACUUCAGUCUCUACUGUCUAGACAGCUCUCCCACCUAUAAACUUCAGUCAUCAUUGUAUAGACACUUCCCCCACCUAUAAACUUCAGUCGCUACUGUCUAGACAGCUCUCCCACCUAUAAACUUCAGUCUACUGUCUAGACAGCUCCCCCACCUAUAAACUUCAGUUGUCACUGUAUAGACACCUCCCCCACCCAGCCAAAAUUCUUGCACAUUUGUCUGUUUUAUUUAUUUUAAAUGAUUGUUUGAAUCCCUGGAACGUUUGUGUGAACAUAUUGGGCUCAUCUGCACAGUAUUUGCCCAAAUAAUUUUAUCAUGAAAAAUAAUGCAGUAAAAUCUUCGCUUUUCUUGUUCACUACAUUAUUUUAUCCAUUAAAGUGCUAUGUUUGUCGAAAAAAUCAUAACAAAGCAACUAAACAAUAUUAUCAUUAAUUUUGUUUUCUUCCCUAUAAGAUUUUAUCCAUUAAAACAGGGGCGGGAUGUAGUCCAGUGGUAAAGUGCAUGCCUGAUGCGCGGUUGGUCUAGGAUCGAUCCCCGUCGGUGGACUUAUUGAGCUGUUUUUCGUUCCAGCCAAUGCACCACGACUGGUAUAUCAAAGGUUUUGGUAUGUGCUGUCUUGUCAAAAAUGAUCAUGUUUUACAUCCAGUAGCCAAUUAAUAAAUCAAUGUGCUCUAGUGGUGUCGUUGAACAAAACUAAUUUAUCCAUUAAAAUGCUCUGUUAGUUGGACAUUUUUAACAAAGCAAACAGCAAAAUUUGCAGGGCUUGAACUUAAUGAAGGCACGGACGGCCAUUUCCAUAGCUGUGAUAGGUUAGGAGCUGUACUGACGGCAGCUUUUUGUCGCUGGAUAAAAAUGAUUGCUGUUGUUUGAAGAGAUAAUAUUGUGUUUUCAAUCUUGUAUGUUUUUGUUGCAAACGUUACUGGUUUAAAAUUGCUGUAGGCGGUCUCAAAAACGCCGUAAAGUGAGCAUUUUGCCUGUGACAAAAACAUUUCAGCAGUACCGUAGGUAAUAAGUUCAAGCCCUGACUAUGAAUGCAUGUUAUAACAUGAAAUCUGUUUACCAAGCACAUGUAGGUAGAUGGUUAAAACAAACAAACGAUUCCGGUGGAUAUGUCUGUAACGCUGUACAUGUACAUCCUAAGUUCAAGCCCUGUGUAUGAAUGCAUGUUAUAACAUGAAGUGUGUUUACCAAGAAGGUAGGUGGUUAAAACUAACAAACAAACUAGGCCGGUUGAUAUGUCUGUAACGCUGUACAUGUACAUCCUAAGUUCAAGCCUUGUGUAUGAAUGCAUGUUAUAACAUGAAGUCUGUUUACCAAGAAGGUAGGUGGUUCAAACAAACAAACUAGGCCGGUGGAUAUGUCUGUAACGCUGUACGUCCCGUCACGUGGAACAAGAUUUUCAUAUUCAUCUUUUACAUGAUAAAAACGCUUUUUUCACUUUGGAUACAAUUCUGUGCACAGACUUGUGUGUAUAUUGUGAUGAAGUAUCGAGUGAGAUACCAACAUUUACACGUGUGGAAUACGUCGUGUGAAAUAACGUCAUGUGUAAUAUGAUACGCGAAAUACAUAUACCGUAUAAUAUGACAUUAUGUGAAAUAACGUCAUGUGUAAUGUGUUAAAUGAAAUACACGGUGUGUAAUACGA
This is a long non-coding RNA of Gigantopelta aegis, 2318 nucleotides long. RefSeq lists it as uncharacterized. The record is from RefSeq and is a predicted model, not a curated record. NCBI's taxonomy places the organism in Eukaryota, Metazoa, Mollusca, Gastropoda, Neomphalida, Peltospiridae. The transcript is spliced from 2 exons.